This 453-nucleotide ribosomal RNA is filed under the name uncultured organism. RNAcentral's name for it is "partial 16S ribosomal RNA". It matches the Rfam family "Bacterial small subunit ribosomal RNA", at positions 331 to 800 of the family's 1533-position model. The record is from RNAcentral.
GUACACUCCUACGGGAGGCAGCAGUGGGGAAUAUUGGACAAUGGGCGCAAGCCUGAUCCAGCCAUGCCGCGUGAGUGAUGAAGGCCCUAGGGUUGUAAAGCUCUUUCACCGGAGAAGAUAAUGACGGUAACCGGAGAAGAAGCCCCGGCUAACUUCGUGCCAGCAGCCGCGGUAAUACGAAGGGGGCUAGCGUUGUUCGGAUUUACUGGGCGUAAAGCGCACGUAGGCGGACUAUUAAGUCAGGGGUGAAAUCCCGGGGCUCAACCCCGGAACUGCCUUUGAUACUGGUAGUCUUGCGUUCGAGAGAGGUGAGUGGAAUUCCGAGUGUAGAGGUGAAAUUCGUAGAUAUUCGGAGGAACACCAGUGGCGAAGGCGGCUCACUGGCUCGAUACUGACGCUGAGGUGCGAAAGCGUGGGGAGCAAACAGGAUUAGAUACCCGUGUAGUCCCAUGA